UUUGAAAUGAAACAACAAAAUAACAUUUUUAAAUCAGAAAUCAAUGUUUGAUUCUGCAGAUCACAAUUAAGAAGUUCACUCAUUUUCAGAAUGGUUGGAGUAAAAUCGAAGUUAAAGCUACAGACAUUUCAAGGUCCCUGAAGAUGUUUCCUACUUUUCAGUGGGAGUUCUUUGAACAAUUUUCCUCCCUAUUCACACAAGUAGUACAUGGUUGAAAGCAAAUAAAUG
RNAcentral lists this long non-coding RNA (228 nucleotides) under Homo sapiens (human). RNAcentral describes it as "HSALNT0107790". The record is from RNAcentral. Lineage: Eukaryota; Metazoa; Chordata; Mammalia; Primates; Hominidae.